RNAcentral lists this long non-coding RNA (714 nucleotides) under Piliocolobus tephrosceles (Ugandan red Colobus). RNAcentral's name for it is "lncRNA (ENSPTEG00000001358.1)". The record is from RNAcentral. Lineage: Eukaryota; Metazoa; Chordata; Mammalia; Primates; Cercopithecidae.
UACUGAGCUGGCAUUGAAGGAUGGAAUCCACAGCAGUCAAUAAAGAAUUGGCGGGAACAAAAGUGGAAUUUCUUUUCUGUUUGGACAGUUGCACAGAGGAUGGGGCAUCAGAAACAAAACCGGAUGUCUCUCCAAAAUGAGGUCAGAAAUCUGACAUCUUAGACGUCAAAUAAAAGCCCACCUCAGAGCAGGAGCAGCAAGGAGAGCACCUGUCCCUGCAUUGGUGCUGGGUGGAGGGAAAUCCACUGACCCUGAGAACCGAUGAGAAACAGUCCUCCGGGAGUUCAUGCUGGAAGACCUGGAGAGCAUGGGUCAAAUCGAUGUGGCACCAGGCGGCUGCUAACUUCACCUCUACCCCAUGUGCUAGUUCUGGCAAAGCCAGUCACCUGCCCAGGGCAGAGAGUAGCCUGAAGCUGAUGCUACGGAGAGACUGGGGCCUUCAGUCCAACAGCCUGCAAGCAAUAGAAUUCUGCCAGCAACACAGAAGCGAGCGUGGAAGCAGCUCCUCCCCUGAUGAGCCUGAGCCUUCAGAAGACAUGGCAGCCCUGAGCAGACACUUGCUGCAGCCGCGGAGAGCCCCUGGGGCAGAGGGCCCAGUGAAGCCUGCACUCCUGGCCCAAGGAGUAAGCAUUCCUGUGGUAUAACUGUGUGCUGGUGUGGGCCACAGUUUGGAGUCAUCUGUCAGGGGACAAUAAAGAACAAACACACGCCUCA